This 497-nucleotide ribosomal RNA is filed under the name uncultured bacterium. RNAcentral's name for it is "partial 16S ribosomal RNA". It matches the Rfam family "Bacterial small subunit ribosomal RNA", at positions 28 to 507 of the family's 1533-position model. The record is from RNAcentral.
GACGAACGCUGGCGGCGUGCCUAAUACAUGCGAGUAGAACGCUGAAGAGAGGAGCUUGCUCUUCUUGGAUGAGUUGCGAACGGGUGAGUAACGCGUAGGUAACCUGCCUGGUAGCGGGGGAUAACUAUUGGAAACGAUAGCUAAUACCGCAUAAAAUGGAUUAUCGCAUGAUAAUCCAUUGAAAGGUGCAAAUGCAUCACUACCAGAUGGACCUGCGUUGUAUUAGCUAGUUGGUGGGGUAACGGCUCACCAAGGCGACGAUACAUAGCCGACCUGAGAGGGUGAUCGGCCACACUGGGACUGAGACACGGCCCAGACUCCUACGGGAGGCAGCAGUAGGGAAUCUUCGGCAAUGGACGGAAGUCUGACCGAGCAACGCCGCGUGAGUGAAGAAGGUUUUCGGAUCGUAAAGCUCUGUUGUAAGAGAAGAACGAGUGUGAGAGUGGAAAGUUCACACUGUGACGGUAUCUUACCAGAAAGGGACGGCUAACUACGUG